UACGUAGGGGGCAAGCGUUGUCCGGAAUCAUUGGGCGUAAAGAGCGUGUAGGAGGCCAGAAAAGUCCGCUGUGAAAACUCGAGGCUCAACUUCGAGCUGUCGGUGGAAACUUUCUGGCUAGAGUCCGGAAGAGGAGAAUGGAAUUCCUGGUGUAGCGGUGAAAUGCGCAGAUAUCAGGAAGAACACCCGUGGCGAAGGCGGUUCUCUGGGACGGUACUGACGCUGAGACGCGAAAGCGUGGGGAGCGAACAGG
RNAcentral lists this ribosomal RNA (253 nucleotides) under uncultured bacterium. RNAcentral's name for it is "partial 16S ribosomal RNA". It matches the Rfam family "Bacterial small subunit ribosomal RNA", at positions 524 to 776 of the family's 1533-position model. The record is from RNAcentral.